AGCGAACGCUGGCGGCAGGCCUAACACAUGCAAGUCGAACGAACUCUUCGGAGUUAGUGGCGGACGGGUGAGUAACACGUGGGAACGUGCCUUUAGGUUCGGAAUAACUCAGGGAAACUUGUGCUAAUACCGAAUGUGCCCUUCGGGGGAAAGAUUUAUCGCCUUUAGAGCGGCCCGCGUCUGAUUAGCUAGUUGGUGAGGUAAAGGCUCACCAAGGCGACGAUCAGUAGCUGGUCUGAGAGGUUGAUCAGCCACAUUGGGACUGAGACACGGCCCAAACUCCUACGGGAGGCAGCAGUGGGGAAUCUUGCGCAAUGGGCGAAAGCCUGACGCAGCCAUGCCGCGUGAAUGAUGAAGGUCUUAGGAUUGUAAAAUUCUUUCACCGGGGACGAUAAUGACGGUACCCGGAGAAGAAGCCCCGGCUAACUUCGUG
This 433-nucleotide ribosomal RNA is filed under the name uncultured bacterium. Its description in RNAcentral is "partial 16S ribosomal RNA". It matches the Rfam family "Bacterial small subunit ribosomal RNA", at positions 29 to 507 of the family's 1533-position model. The record is from RNAcentral.